Molecule: transfer RNA, 74 nt
Filed under: Chitinophagales bacterium
Lineage: Bacteria; Pseudomonadati; Bacteroidota; Chitinophagia; Chitinophagales
Description: tRNA-Met
Rfam family: tRNA
About the family: Transfer RNA (tRNA) molecules are approximately 80 nucleotides in length. Their secondary structure includes four short double-helical elements and three loops (D, anti-codon, and T loops). Further hydrogen bonds mediate the characteristic L-shaped molecular structure. tRNAs have two regions of fundamental functional importance: the anti-codon, which is responsible for specific mRNA codon recognition, and the 3' end, to which the tRNAs corresponding amino acid is attached (by aminoacyl-tRNA synthetases). tRNAs cope with the degeneracy of the genetic code in two manners: having more than one tRNA (with a specific anti-codon) for a particular amino acid; and 'wobble' base-pairing, i.e. permitting non-standard base-pairing at the 3rd anti-codon position.
Source: RNAcentral
GGCGUGGUAGCUCAGCUGGUUAGAGCGCAGCAUUCAUAAUGCUGAGGUCGGUGGUUCAAGCCCACCUCACGCUA